Cyanistes caeruleus (blue tit) is the source of this 1709-nucleotide long non-coding RNA. NCBI's taxonomy places the organism in Eukaryota, Metazoa, Chordata, Aves, Passeriformes, Paridae. The record is from Ensembl.
CUCUGGGUUCUCUCUGUCAAAUCCAUUCUAGCAGGGAAAGGCUGGGCAUUUCUAGGCUCUCCUCAAAGCCUUCCCUGGGGGAGCAGGAUUUAGCCCCCCCUCUUCCCCCAGGAAAACUUGGGGAUGUUUUUGAUGGUGGAAAUGGAGCUGGGCUCUCAGCCUGGGGAUUUUGAAGGGCACAGCUUUGAGCGUGGGUUAGAUGAGAUGUUGUUUAGGGGCUCCUUCUGACCUGAAUUAUUCUGUGAUUGCAGGCAUCUGCUCAUCCAAUAAAUUUUCCCCCCUCAGUUUUCCUGAAGCCCCUGGACCCAGAGGUGAUUGCAGCAGGCAAAGCAGCAAAAAAACCCAAAAGGACAAACCAGCUGCAGAGGUUGGUUUCAGGUAGAGCUCUCACAGGUCUUGGGGCACCGAUGCUUCCCACUGCACUUCCAGCAGACUUCUGCAGAGGGAAAGGAUUUGUUAUCGUGGCUUAAAUCCCAUCCUGAGGAGCUGAAUGUGCAAUCCUUUAAGCACAGGGAUGUCUCUGGAGUGCUGCCUAUUCCCACAGCUCGCUGUGCAGCAGAAGGAAUGUCUAGAGGAUGGAGAUGCAGCAGUCGAUCAGGCUGCCAGAGGAAGCAGUGGAGCCAUUGAAGUGGAGUGUGCUUUCCCUGAGCAGCCCUUUGGGGAGCUGAAAACAACGUGGUUAACCCAGCAGGUAAUGAGUGGGGAGUGAAAGCCACGAGCAGGAAGGACAUGAUGCCACUCACCAGCUUCCUAAACAAGUGAUCACAGCCAGUCCCGAGCUGGAGAUCCCUGGCACUGCAGUGAGCACCGGUUUGAAGUGUGCCCUUGAGAAAUCUCCACGUUUGCCUGCUCCAGGAGUGUUCCUGAGGCUCCAGCUCAGCCCCUUAGGCUGCAGCCUAGCCAAGCUCCCUGCUGCUGGUGAGAGCACAUCAGGGACUCUGGACAUCAUGGCUGGACAUGUGUGCAGGAUUGGAGCCUCUUCCUUCCUCUAUAGGUGCAUGUGGAUGGAUGAGCACUCUGAAAUUAAAGGUGGAGAGGUUAUUCACAGAGGAAUUAACCCUGCUUUAGGGGUGGAGUUCAGUGUUUGUGUUAUUGAUGCCUGUAACUGAUUAAACACUGAGCCUCAUCGACAGGUUCUGCUGAUCCUGUGGACUGGGGAUGUUCCACUUCUCCCUUUCCAAAGGGAAAGGGCAUUUCAAGAGGCAGAGAGGGAACAGAAGGUGGUGCCCCAGGGAGAGAUUCAAAUGAACAUCCUGAUCUGAAGGGAAGAGCAAAUGUAAAUCUGAGAGAGAUCCUGGGAGAGAUGAGGUGUAAAGGCUACGUGCUCCCUCAGCCGCCCAUUUUCCUCAUUGAGGGCAGAUUUUGGGGUGGGCAUGUUUGCAUAAGAGCAGGUCUUGUCCUCUUGAGGCAGGGAAGCAUUCAAAGAGCACAGCAGAGGGAUGAUGCACAGUGAGGAGUCUUCCAAAGUCUGGCCAGGUGUAAGCAGGGAUUUCCUUUUAUUUCCUCACAUCUGACCCUAACUCUGUGGUACCUUGCUGUGCCCACCCUGGCAGCAUUUGUGUGGUUUCUGCUCUGAGAGAGAGGUGCUGUUCAGGGAGGUUUGGAAAUGCCUCAGCCAGCCAAGCCCCUCUCUCUGAGCACCUUCAAAUGGAGCUCCUGUUCUCUGGGGGGCACAGGGAUGUAAGAGCCCUCUCCAGGCUGACCCAAAC